Molecule: long non-coding RNA, 1506 nt
Filed under: Vulpes vulpes (red fox)
Lineage: Eukaryota; Metazoa; Chordata; Mammalia; Carnivora; Canidae
Description: lncRNA (ENSVVUG00000021358.1)
Source: RNAcentral
CGGGGGGUCGCUUAAUGCUGGGGCCCUAGGACGGGGUGUCGCUGGUCCCGUCCACACAGGGGGACACCGGGACUCGGGGUGCCCCGGGCUCGUUUCUUUGUUCAGUCCAGGGGGGCUGGUGUCACCGUUACCCCCGACGCACCAGCCCGCGUGGCUGCCCUGCUCUCCUGACACCGGGCACCAGCCGCGCGGCCAGGCCUCCAGCGCCCAACACGGAACUCCUCCUCCUCCUCCUCCUCCUUCUCCUCCUUCUCCUUUCUUUGUCCUUUUCUUCUUUCUUCUUCUUUCUCCUUCUCCUUCCUUCUCCCUUCUUCUUCCUUCUCCUCCUCCUUCUUCUUAUUCUCUUCUUCUUCUUCUUCUUCUUCUUCUUCUUCUUCUUCUUCUUCCUCUUCUUCCUUCAUCCUCUUCUUCUUUCUUCUUCUCCUUCCCUUUCCUUCUCCUUCUUCUUCCUUCCUCCUCCUUCCUCCUCCUUCCUUCUCCUUCCUUCUCCCUUCUUCUUCCUUCUUCUUCUUCUUCUUCUUCUUCUUCUUCUUCUUCUUCUUCUUCUUCUUCUUCUUCUUCCUCUUCUUCCUUCAUCUUCUUCUUCUUUCUUCUUCUCCUCUUUCCUUCUCCUUCUUCUUCCUUUCUUCCUCCUCCUUCCUUCUCCUUCCUUCUCCCUUCUUCUUCCUCCUCCUCCUCCUCCUUCUUCUUCUUCCUUUAUCCUCUUCUUCUUUCUUCUCCUCCUUUCUUCUUCUCCUUCUUCUUCUUCUCCUCCCUUCUUCUUCCUUCCUUCCUCCUCCUCCUCCUUUCUUUGUCCUCUUCUUCUUUCUUCUUCUUUCUCCUUCUCCUUCCUUCUCCUUUCUUCUUCCUUCUCCUCCUCCUCCUUCUUCUUCCUUCAUCCUCUUCUUUCUUCUCCUCAUUUCUUCUUCUUCUUCUUCUUCUUCUUCUUCUUCUUCUUCUUCUUCUUCUUCUCCUUCUUCUUUUCCCUUCUUCCUUCCUUCUCUCCUCCUCCUUCUUCUUCUUCUUCUUCUUCUUCUUCUUCUUCUUCUUCUUCUUCUUCAUAUGUAUUUAUUCAUUUUGGAGUGAGAGAGAGAGAGAGCUGGAGCAUGCUAGCAUGGGGAGGAGCAGAGGGAAAGGGGCGAGCAGACCCGUACUGGGAGGCCCACCUCCCCACCCUGACCCCAGCACCUGCGCCCAGCCGCCCGGAUGCCCCCCGCCAUCCCACCCUAACCCCCAACUUCUCCUGCAAGUGCCACAGGUGUAAACGGAAGGUUUUAGACAGUUUCCUUAGAGAGUGCACAGAAAACUAACGAUAUUCCUUUCUUGGCUCCUUGUUCUCUUACCAAUUUCUCAAAUUUUAGAACAACAGCAUACUUUGCUAAAAAUCACCUUUUUUCUUUUUUGCUCCAACUUUGAAUGAUCAAAUGAGUGCCUCUUAUUUCAGCCUUUGAUACGGUUUUGAUGUGUAAUUUGGGCUUCUUUACCCCUCUCAUUAACCAGAACCUUUCCAAACAAUUUUAUGGCAAG